Molecule: non-coding RNA, 360 nt
Organism: Phalacrocorax carbo (great cormorant)
Lineage: Eukaryota; Metazoa; Chordata; Aves; Suliformes; Phalacrocoracidae
Source: RefSeq, a predicted model, not a curated record
UUAAUACCGUUUUCAAGUGUUCCAGUCCCUCUAGCUUUUAAAGGAGGUGUUGUGUUUUGACAUGACCCGUUUGCCCAGAAUCUUGCUGCGGCUCAAUUUCCUUCCUAUCCCUUGUGCUGACUGAGCUACUCCAUUUUCUUCUGUGCUAUUUUAUUAACGUGCUGAAAUAUAGUUUGGGAUUUCUGUUUUUCAGAUGUCUUCUCAGUGUCUCGUGAUGCUCAAGAGAUGCCCCCCGGCCCGGGUUUGCCUGCCGGUCGUUAAGCGUGGUGAAGAGGCAGAGGAGGAGUUGUUCAGGGUGACAGAGGAAAGCCGGGGAAAUGCUGUAAGAAGGUGAUGGGUGAGCCUCAAAGUGGCAGCUGG